This 258-nucleotide long non-coding RNA is filed under the name Salmo salar (Atlantic salmon). RNAcentral's name for it is "lncRNA (ENSSSAG00000094157.1, ENSSSAG00000121725.1)". The record is from RNAcentral. Lineage: Eukaryota; Metazoa; Chordata; Actinopteri; Salmoniformes; Salmonidae.
UGUGUCUGCCUGCCUGCCUGUCUGUCUGUCUGCCUUCCUGUCUGUCUGCUGAGGAUUUCCAUCUCCUUCCGGGAUACCCUCUUUACCGGGGACCCAGGAGGAGAGAGGAAGAGAGGAAAGAGCGUGCCUUGUUUGACCUUCGGAGCGGUUUCAGAGUGAGGAAGAAGGAGAGGAACGGGCGAGAAAAGCAGAAUCCAUCAGGAGGAGGGAGGAUCAGGUGAGUGCUUUAACAUACAGUACAUACUUCUGUAUGUGUAA